This is a non-coding RNA of Cherax quadricarinatus, 2414 nucleotides long. NCBI's taxonomy places the organism in Eukaryota, Metazoa, Arthropoda, Malacostraca, Decapoda, Parastacidae. The record is from RefSeq and is a predicted model, not a curated record.
UGGCUAGGUUAUAGUGUUAUAUAUCCUGGCUGCACUGAAGCACCUGCACAGUAAGAACAUUGUUCACUGUGAUCUCAAGCCAGAGAACGUGCUCCUCUCAUCUGCUAGUGACUUCCCUCAAGUUAAACUUUGUGAUUUUGGCUUUGCCAGAAUUAUAGGUGAAAAGUCUUUCAGAAGAUCUGUGGUUGGAACACCUGCAUACCUAGCUCCAGAAGUGUUGCGGAACAAGGGCUACAAUCGUUCACUUGACAUGUGGUCUGUAGGCGUUAUCACAUACGUCUCCCUCUCUGGUACCUUCCCCUUCAACGAGGAUGAGGACAUUAACGAUCAAAUUCAAAAUGCUGCCUUCAUGUAUCCUCCAAACCCAUGGAAAGAAAUUAGUCAAGAGGCCAUUGAUCUGAUCACCAACUUGCUACAAGUGAAACAACGUAAACGUCUGACAGUGGACAAGUCACUGGCACACGUGUGGCUGCAGGACUACCAGUGCUGGUGCGACCUGAGAGAUCUGGAACACAAAGUAGGAGUGCGGUACAUUACACACGAGUCUGAUGACUCUCGCUGGGCAACCUAUCGUAGACCUGGCGACCAAGUCUCUCCCGUCACUCCUGUAUCUCUCUCCCCAGAGGCAGAUGUAUUACCUGCUGCAUAAUUCAUUCUAGAAUCUUUAAUUUUAUGAAAUAGCUGUUAACAUAUUUGGAUGUGGCGUACUUUUAAGGCGACGUUAAUGUGAUGCUGCGUGUUGAUAAUGCCGACGCAAUGGCAAUAAAGUGGGCAUAAAAAGAUGUUCUUAUGUUAAUUAUCUGUUGAUGGUUAUGUGGUAAUGGCCCCACCAGUUAGGCCUGAUGGCCAUAGUGGCCCUAUCACACCAGGCCUGAUGAUGGCCAUAGUGGCCCUAUCACACCAGGCCUGAUGAUGGCCCUAGUGGGCUGUCACACCAGGCCUGAUGAUGGCCCUAGUAGGCCACUAUCACACCUGGCCUGAUGAUGGCCUUAGUGGGCCACUAUCACACCAGGCCUGAUGAUGGCCCUAGUGGGCUGUCACACCAGGCCUGAUGAUGGCCCUAGUAGGCCACUAUCACACCUGGCCUGAUAAUGGCCUUAGUGGGCCACUAUCACACCAGGUCUGAUGAUGGCCCUAGUGGGCUGUCACACCAGGCCUGAUGAUGGCCCUAGUGGGCUAUCACACCAGGCCUGAUGAUGGCCCUAGUAGGCCACUAUCACACCUGGCCUGAUGAUGGCCUUAGUGGGCCACUAUCACACCAGGCCUGAUGAUGGCCCUAGUGGGCUGUCACACCAGGCCUGAUGAUGGCCCUAGUGGGCUAUCACACCAGGCCUGAUGAUGGCCCUGGUGGGCCACUAUCACACUAGGCUUGAUGGCCCUGGUGGGCCACUAUCACACUAGGCUUGAUGGCCCUGGUGGGCCACUAUCACACCAGGCCUCCUAAAUUACCAAGUACAUACUAGACAAAUAACAUGUAUUAGGAAACACACCAAGUAAAGUGUAUAGUGAUGUAAGUAGAAGUUUGUGAGAGUUGCUUGUCAUUGUGUUGCAUGUUGGUGAGACAACACACCAGCGGUCCUGCCAGAGUGCAACACAUGUAACACUUGUUACACACACGACAGAUGGGUACUACCUUCCUGCCAACCUGCUGCCAGAGUGCAACACAUGUAAUACUUAUUACACACAUGACAGGUGGGUACUACCUUCCUGCCAACCUGCUGCCAGAGUGCAACACAUGUAAUACUUAUUACACACAUGACAGGUGGGUACUACCUUCCUGCCAACCUGCUGCCAGAGUGCAACACAUGUAAUACUUAUUACACACAUGACAGGUGGGUACUACCUUCCUGCCAACCUGCUGCCAGAGUGCAACACAUGACAGGUGGGUACUACCUUCCUGCCAACCUGCUGCCAGAGUGCAACACAUGACAGGUGGGUACUACCUUCCUGCCAACCUGCUGCCAGAGUGCAACACAUGACAGGUGGGUACUACCUUCCUGCCAACCUGCUGCCAGAGUGCAACACAUGACAGGUGGGUACUACCUUCCUGCCAACCUGCUGCCAGAGUGCAACACAUGACAGGUGGGUACUACCUUCCUGCCAACCUGCUGCAAGAGUGCAACACAUGACAGGUGGGUACUACCUUCCUGCCAACCUGCUGCCAGAGUGCAACACAUGACAGGUGGGUACUACCUUCCUGCCAACCUGCUGCAAGAGUGCAACACCUCGACCAGGCUUGUUUCAUUUAUUGUUCGUUAUGUUUAUUAUAGAAACAUUUUGUUAUAUUCCAUUGGCUAGAUCAGUGUGUCAUUUCUUUCCUUGCACUCUCAGAUUACCUCAACUUUUGUCUUUGUUUUCAACCUUUUUUGUGCAAUAAGUUACAUUUAAAUUUUUACUCUCUACAUUGUUCUGAU